AGUGGCCUAGUGGUUCAGACGACCGCCUGGUAUGCCAAGGGUGUAGGUUCAAA
RNAcentral lists this transfer RNA (53 nucleotides) under Oxyrrhis marina. RNAcentral's name for it is "partial tRNA". The record is from RNAcentral. Lineage: Eukaryota; Dinophyceae; Oxyrrhinales; Oxyrrhinaceae.